This 377-nucleotide ribosomal RNA is filed under the name uncultured bacterium. RNAcentral's name for it is "bacterial SSU rRNA". It matches the Rfam family "Bacterial small subunit ribosomal RNA", at positions 32 to 390 of the family's 1533-position model. The record is from RNAcentral.
AAUCAACGCUGGCGGCGUGCCUCAGACAUGCAAGUCGAACGCGAAAGUUUCCUUCGGGGAGCGAGUAGAGUGGCGCACGGGUGAGUAACACGUAGGUAAUCUACCUUCGGAUGGGGAAUAACAAUCGGAAACGGUUGCUAAUACCGCAUAAUGCAGCGGCACCUAAUGGUGACAGUUGUUAAAGCGGGGGAUCGUAAGACCUCGCGUCUGAAGAGGAGCCUGCGGCGGAUAGCUUGUUGGUAAGGUAAUGGCUUACCAAGGCGACGAUCCGUAACCGGCCUGAGAGGGCGGUCGGUCACACUGACACUGACAUACGGGUCAGACUCCUACGGAGGCAGCAGUCGGGAAUUUUGGGCAAUGGGCGAAAGCCUGACCCA